GACGAACGCUGGCGGCGUGCCUAAUACAUGCAAGUAGAACGCUGAAGGAGGAGCUUGCUCUUCUGGAUGAGUUGCGAACGGGUGAGUAACGCGUAGGUAACCUGCCUGGUAGCGGGGGAUAACUAUUGGAAACGAUAGCUAAUACCGCAUAACAUUGACUAUUGCAUGAUAGUCAAUUAAAAGGUGCAAAUGCACCACUACCAGAUGGACCUGCGUUGUAUUAGCUAGUUGGUGGGGUAACGGCUCACCAAGGCGACGAUACAUAGCCGACCUGAGAGGGUGAUUGGCCACACUGGGACUGAGACACGGCCCAGACUCCUACGGGAGGCAGCAGUAGGGAAUCUUCGGCAAUGGACGGAAGUCUGACCGAGCAACGCCGCGUGAGUGAAGAAGGUUUUCGGAUCGAAGCUCUGUUGUAAGAGAAGAAACGAGUGUGAGAAGUGGAAAG
This 448-nucleotide ribosomal RNA is filed under the name Streptococcus cristatus. RNAcentral describes it as "bacterial SSU rRNA". It matches the Rfam family "Bacterial small subunit ribosomal RNA", at positions 28 to 471 of the family's 1533-position model. Lineage: Bacteria; Bacillati; Bacillota; Bacilli; Lactobacillales; Streptococcaceae. The record is from RNAcentral.